Non-coding RNA from Lingula anatina, 45 nucleotides. NCBI's taxonomy places the organism in Eukaryota, Metazoa, Brachiopoda, Lingulata, Lingulida, Lingulidae. The record is from Rfam.
ACAUCAGAUUUUUUCAAAUCUAUCCAUGUUUUGAAAAAAAAAAGA